Molecule: ribosomal RNA, 433 nt
Filed under: uncultured bacterium
Lineage: Bacteria
Description: partial 16S ribosomal RNA
Rfam family: Bacterial small subunit ribosomal RNA
Source: RNAcentral
AGUGAACGCUGGCGGCAGGCCUAACACAUGCAAGUCGAACGAACUCUUCGGAGUUAGUGGCGGAUGGGUGAGUCACACGUGGGAACGUUCAUUUUGGUUUGGAAUACCUCUGGGACACUUGUGAUAAUACCGAAUGUGCCCUUCUGGGGAAAGAUUUAUCGCCCUUAGAGCGGCCCUCGUCUGAUUAGCUUGUUAGGACGGUAACGGCUGACUAAGGCGCCGAUCAGUAGCUGGUUAGAGAGGCUGACCAGCGACACUGAGAGGCAGACGCGGCCCGGAAUCUUACGGAAGGGAGCAGUGGCGAAUCGUGCACAAUGGCGUGAAGCAUGAAGGAGCCAUGCUGCGAGAAUGAUGAAGGUCGUAGAAAAGUAAAAUUCUUUCAACGAGGACGAUAAUGACGGUACCCGAAGAAGAAGCCCCGGCUAACUUCGUG